AACCUACAGAAUGGCUCUUUGUAUCAUUCAACUUGAAGAAAAUAAGUGAUGUACAAUCCUGCAUAUUUUCAUUUUUUUGUUUAACAACAGCUACGUGGUGAUUGACAUACUGAAUUACUGUUAAUAAGGUGUGCUAUUCAUGAACUAAAACUAAAACGAGGACUAACUCAGCAUCCUACUGAGAUGUCCGCUGCUGAGCAACAGUUCAAGGCUCUCCAGCACGUGACGGGGACAGCCGGAGGGAAGCACCUCAGAGAGUGCUCUCUGACCCUGCAUGGACUGUGCCACCCAAAUGUUGCUGGCUUUGCCUUUUGAUUUCGGAUCAUUAUCAUUUAGCUUCAUCACCAUCCAUUUAGUGAUUUUAGUUAACGCUACGAUACUAGUUUGCAACAAGUCUUACGAACUUUAAACUAUAUGUGUGCUGCACAUCUAAUAUAAUACAAAUCACCUACACUCCUACUAAAGCAGACAUUAAUGUAACAUCUAAAUAGUUGGCUCUCACAGACACUUCUGUGAUGUGCUGCUCGUGAACUUGUGCUGGUUAUGUGUAAGUUUACAGGGUACCAUUUUACAAUACAAAAUCACCUCAUAAGCUCAUUUCUCUCCUAUAAAGAAAAAUAACUUCAUGAAUGUUGCUAGCAACAAAUUUACUGUUAGGUUCCUCUCUACUUCUUAGUGACUACUAACUUAAUCUUCACUGCACGAGGUAUGUGUCUCCUGCCCCAACGUCACGAGCAUUUUAGAGUUGGUGCCUUAAGUGUUGGGUUCCUCAGAGUUCUGUCCAAGGCUUCUCUCAUUACACUACAGAUGAUCCCGUGUGCUCCCAUGACUGAAGCUUCCAAGUGCCACUGAGGACACCCAAAUCUGUCUCUCCCCAGGCCUCUUUCCUGGGCCUCAGAUACUAUCCAUCCACCUGCUGGACACCAACUUGUGCCUGUCCCCCUGACAGUCAUCCAGAACGUCCCAAAUUGAGCCUAUCUUCCCACUCAAACCUGCCUUCCUCCCACAUCCAAGAUCUCACCGGAAGGCACCACAAGUCAAAACCUGGGAUCUGCCUUCACCCUUUCCUUGGCGCACGUCCAGUCAACGGCACCACCACCCCCCCAACUGACAGCUCGCGCAGCGCACGGCCUCUUCAUUCCUCUCCAGGCUUUCAUGUGGCCCUCUUCGAUCUAUUCUUCGGAUACAAACCCACACUCCUCCCAGGAUAAAGUCUCAGCUCCUUAAAAUGAUAAAGAAAGUCUGACGUAAUUCAAGUGUCAGCCCUUGUGUCUUCCUGACCUGGCUUUCUGCACCCUAGCCCUACCGAACGCCUUCAAGUUCAAACACAACGUGCCUUCUCCGGUCCAUAAAGUUAUCCCCUUCACUCUGAGAUCCUUCCCCACAUCCCUCCUUGACUGGCUGACUUCUGUUUACUCCAUAGCCUUUCCGCUGGGACAGGAAAGAGUCCGUGGCUGGAUGUGGGCACCCUCCCAUACCCUUGCCCCAGCUGAGCCUUUACUCUGCUGUAUUUCCAGACCUGAAUCCACCACCACACUGUAAAUAACUUGAGGACCAAAAGAAUAUGUCUUCCUCACUAUGCCACCCACACAGCAAGAGAUCUCUAAAUAUUUAAGUGUAUAGAGACACACUGUGUUACAUCACUUAGCAUUCUGACAGCUCUCCUAAAAGAAGCGGGAAAUACCAUUUGUGAGUACCUGCCGUCAGCAGGUCUAUUUGAGUAUACUCCUGUUUUUUUUUUUUUUUUUUUUAAAUAAAUCCUGGUUCCUAAGGAUUCACUGAGACUACGAGAUUUCAUUUGUGUACUGAUUUAAAAAAAAAUCUUAUGUUAACAGCCAAAUUACAAUAAAGCUAAACAUAAAACUUACAUCAAGUUGAAUAAACUGCAAAAAGUCUCCAAUCAGCUCCUUAGACACUGCUUGUACAAAUGUCUCUCGUUUUUCCAUGACAGAUGAAACUGCUUUUCAUAUGGCAUUUAUUCUGUAACCCUAAG
Molecule: long non-coding RNA, 1993 nt
Organism: Leopardus geoffroyi (Geoffroy's cat)
Lineage: Eukaryota; Metazoa; Chordata; Mammalia; Carnivora; Felidae
Exons: 2
Source: RefSeq, a predicted model, not a curated record